UCUAGAGGCUUCGUCAAUGCCCGAAAGGGUGAACGAGCGACGCCGCGUGCGGGAUGAAGGGCUUCGGCUUGUAAACCGCUUUUGUUUGGGAAGAAUGCCCGGAUCGUGAAUCCGGGAGGGACGGUACCAGACGAAUAAGCCCCGGCUAACUCCGUGCCAGCAGCCGCGGUAAGACGGAGGGGGCAAGCGUUGUUCGGAAUUAUUGGGCGUAAAGGGCGCGUAGGCGGAUUGGUAAGUCUGGCGUGAAAUCUCCACCACUUAACGGGGAGAGGUCGCUGGAAACUGCCGAUCUGGAGUUCGGUAGAGGAUCAUGGAAUUCCAGGUGUAGCGGUGGAAUGCGUAGAUAUCUGGAAGAACACCAAUGGCGAAGGCAGUCACUUGGUCCAUUACUGACGCUAAAGCACGAAAUCGUGGGUAGCAAACA
RNAcentral lists this ribosomal RNA (424 nucleotides) under uncultured prokaryote. RNAcentral's name for it is "bacterial SSU rRNA". It matches the Rfam family "Bacterial small subunit ribosomal RNA", at positions 355 to 774 of the family's 1533-position model. The record is from RNAcentral.